UGAUUUGGAUUCAAAACGUUUCCGGUUCUGAUGACAGAUGGGAGAUGACGGACAUUUGGCAUCAAACUGUCGUCUGAAUAAGAUCAAAUGAACUUCUCUGCCUAGUAACGCUGUAAAUUCUUUGAACCGUACGUAAUAAAGUAAUGCGCGUCUCAAAAUAUCAGAAACUUGGCAGAGAAUGGUUGAGCCUGAAAAGCGUAAUGAGUAAUGAACAAACAAAGCAAACCACCCCAGCUCUCACCAGGGAAGAAAAACCUUCAACUCUCGAAACAUCUGAACAACU
Molecule: long non-coding RNA, 283 nt
Organism: Xenia sp. Carnegie-2017
Lineage: Eukaryota; Metazoa; Cnidaria; Anthozoa; Malacalcyonacea; Xeniidae
Exons: 2
Source: RefSeq, a predicted model, not a curated record